RNAcentral lists this long non-coding RNA (1352 nucleotides) under Salmo salar (Atlantic salmon). Its description in RNAcentral is "lncRNA (ENSSSAG00000082997.1)". The record is from RNAcentral. Lineage: Eukaryota; Metazoa; Chordata; Actinopteri; Salmoniformes; Salmonidae.
AGAGAGAGAGAGAGAAAGACAGAGAGCGAGAGAGAGAGAGAGAGAGAGAGAGAGAGAGAGAGAGAGAGAGAGAGAAACAGAGAGCGAGAGUAAAAAGUAAAAACAAGCAGGUUCUCAUGACAAUGAAAGAAUGAGGAAUUCCUCUGACCUAUGAUUUCAACACUCAUAUUCCUCCUAAUUUCAACUCGUUACCGGCUAAACACAAUCCAUUAAGAUUGACAGACAGACAAAAGAGAACGAGAGAGAAAAAAAAGAAAGAGAGAGCGAGAGAGAAUGUCAGAUCCACUGGAUAUGUCAGUGUGUAGGGGCUAAAACCUUUAUCUAUGCACACACAUGUAGGCCUGAAUGUACACACACACACAGGUGACAACAGACAGUAAAGAAGUUGACAACAGACAGUAAAGAAGUUGACAAAAGACAGUAAAGAAGGUGACAACAGACAGUAAAGAAGAAGUUGACAACAGACAGUUAAAUAAGAAGGUGACAACAGACAGUAAAGAAGUUGACAACAGGCAGUAAAGAAGUUGACAACAGACAGUAAAAUAAGGUGACAACAGACAGUAAAGAAGAAGGUGACAACAGACAGUAAAGAAGAAUCUGACAACAGACAGUAAAGAAGUUGACAACAGACAGUAAAGAAGAAGGUGACAACAGACAGUAAAGAAGAAGCUGACAACAGACAGUAAAGAAGCUGACAACAGGCAGUAAAAGAAGACGGUGACAACAGACAGUAAAGAAGAAGCUGCCAACAGACAGUAAAGAAGUUGACAACAGACAGUAAAGAAGAAGCUGACAACAGACAGUAAAGAAGUUGACAACAGACAGUAAAGAAGAAGGUGACAACAGACAGUAAAGAAGUUGACAACAGACAGUAAAAGAAGAAGCUGACAACAGACAGUAAAGAAGAAGGUGACAACAGACAGUAAAGAAGAAGGUGACAACAGACAGUAAAGAAGGUGACAACAGACAGUAAAGAAGAAGCUGACAACAGACAGUAAAGAAGUUGACAACAGACAGUAAAGAAGAAGGUGACAACAGACAGUAAAAGAAGAAGUUGACAACAGACAGUAAAGAAGGUGACAACAGACAGUAAAGAAGGUGACAACAGACAGUAAAGAAGAAGCUGACAACAGACAGUAAAGAAGUUGACAACAGACAGUAAAGAAGAAGGUGACAACAGACAGUAAAGAAGGUGACAGACAGUAAAGAAGGUGACAACAGACUGUAAAAUAAGGUGACAACAGACAGUAAAAGAAGAAGGUGACAGACAGUAAAAGAAGAAGGUGACAACAGACAGUAAAAUAAGGUGACAACAGACAGUAAAGAAGAGAAAAGGUCAUAUAAGGCAGCAC